GUCAACGCCGUAAACGAUGUGUGCUGGAUGUCGGGGGUAUUCACCCCCUCGGUAUCGAAGCUAACGCGAUAAGCACACCGCCUGGGGAGUACGGCCGCAAGGUUGAAACUCAAAGGAAUUGACGGGGGCCCCGCACAAGCGGUGGAGUAUGUGGUUUAAUUCGACGCAACGCGAAGAACCUUACCCAGCCUUGACAUGCUCGGAAUCCGGUGGAAACACUGGAGUGCCUUCGCAAGAAGGAGCCGGGACACAGGUGCUGCAUGGCUGUCGU
RNAcentral lists this ribosomal RNA (271 nucleotides) under uncultured bacterium. RNAcentral describes it as "partial 16S ribosomal RNA". It matches the Rfam family "Bacterial small subunit ribosomal RNA", at positions 793 to 1055 of the family's 1533-position model. The record is from RNAcentral.